UACGUAGGAGACGAGCGUUGUCCGGAGUUACUGGGCGUAAAGGGUGCGCAGGCGGCCUGGCGCGUCGCGAGUGAAAUCUCCCGGCUCAACUGGGAGGGUGGUCGCGAGACGGCGAGGCUUGAGGCUCGGUGAGGGGCGUGGAAUUCCGGGUGGAGCGGUGAAAUGCGUAGAGAUCCGGAGGAACACCGACGGCGUAGGCAGCGCCCUAGACGAGACCUGACGCUCAGGCACGAAAGCAUGGGGAGCGAACGGG
RNAcentral lists this ribosomal RNA (253 nucleotides) under uncultured bacterium. RNAcentral's name for it is "partial 16S ribosomal RNA". It matches the Rfam family "Bacterial small subunit ribosomal RNA", at positions 524 to 776 of the family's 1533-position model. The record is from RNAcentral.